Molecule: ribosomal RNA, 253 nt
Filed under: uncultured bacterium
Lineage: Bacteria
Description: partial 16S ribosomal RNA
Rfam family: Bacterial small subunit ribosomal RNA
Source: RNAcentral
GACGAACCGUGCGAACGUUGUUCGGAAUCACUGGGCUUAAAGGGCGCGUAGGCGGGCAGCCAAGUCUGUGGUGAAAUCUUUCGGCUUAACCGGAAAAUAGCCGUGGAUACUGGCUGUCUUGAGGGAGGUAGGGGCCUGUGGAACUUCCGGUGGAGCGGUGAAAUGCGUUGAUAUCGGAAGGAACGCCGGUGGCGAAAGCGACGGGCUGGAUCUCUUCUGACGCUGAGGCGCGAAAGCUAGGGGAGCAAACGGG